GGGUAAACAUUUAGCAGCAGUACGAGGAAGCGUGGAGCGGUGCGAGGGAGAACUUAGGAGAACUUGGACGAGCAUUUGGUCUAUUUUUACGCAACCUGCAAUCAACCUGAGGCCCGAAUCUACGGCCAUCACGUUGUGAUGAGGGCAUCCGUUAAAGGCGAUGAAAGAAAUCUGGCACAAAAUUUGCUGACAUCAAGCACCUCAAAGAGAGGGUUAUGAAACUGGUACAAAUCACAAGAAUGUGCAGAUUUAUGAAGUCCAAUCAUCUCAACCACUGACUCUGUGCUACACAGUGGCAAACUGAAAUACUGGAGGACUUCAGCGAUCAUUGUUCGAACCAGGAACUGAUUCUGAAGAACGGUGCCUAUCUACACACUGACAGGAUUGGUUUCUUAGGUUUGUUAUGUAUGAAACUCUCAGAAGUCUGAAUCCAUGUUUUUGAGUUUUUCUUGCUACAUUGCAGUUGAAAGGCGGAAGUGCUCAGCCAUGGAAGUGACUGCUAAUUCCACUCAUGAUAAGUCUUCCAGCAAAAAAAAAAGAAAAAAAAAACACCAACUGGGCAUGUUAACAAUAUUAAAUACUUUUUUUUUUUUUUUUAAACAGCAAAAUAUAGACUAGCUUACUUCUUUAUAACUGUAUCUAUAUGAAUGAAUUAAUAAAUGAAGUUAUUUUAUGUCUACAACAUAAAUCAUCAGUUACUGACAAAGUACUAUCUCUAUAUUUGAGAAAAUAAAAUACCCACUUUAAAAAGUC
Stegastes partitus (bicolor damselfish) is the source of this 753-nucleotide long non-coding RNA. RefSeq lists it as uncharacterized. The transcript has 2 exons. The record is from RefSeq and is a predicted model, not a curated record. Lineage: Eukaryota; Metazoa; Chordata; Actinopteri; Pomacentridae.